CCAAGCUACAAAGAGCCAACGGUGGAUGCCUUGGCGCCAAGAACCGAUGAAGGACGUGGGCGACUGCGAAAAGCCACGGGGAGCUGUCUACCUAGCUUCGAUCCGUGGAUGUCCGAAUGGGGAAACCCGGCACUCGUCAUGGAGUGUCACUCAGGUCUGAAUACAUAGGGCCUGUGGAGGGAACCGGGGGAAUUGAAACAUCUCAGUACCCCGAGGAAAGGAAAGCAACCGCGACUCCCUCAGUAGCGGCGAGCGAAGAGGGAAGAGACCAAACCGUGUCAGUGUCAAGCCUGGUGGCGUUGCUGACGUGGGGUUGUGGGAUCACCAGAGAGAGCACCAGAUCUCUCACAGAGUUACCAAGUUGUUGUGUAGUAGAACCGUCUGGAAAGUCGGGCCAUAGUGGGUAACAGCCCCGUACGCGAAACACACACAGCCUCUGGGUGCGAUCCCAAGUAGGGCCGGGACCGAGAAAACCGGCGUGAAUCUGCGAGGACCACCUCGUAAGUCUAAGUAUUCCUUGGCGACCGAUAGUGAACCAGUACCGUGAGGGAAAGGUGAAAAGCACCCCGGGAGGGGAGUGAAAUAGUCCCUGAAACCGUUGGUUUACAAACAGUCGAAGUGUCGUCGGCGCAAGCCGGCCACGACGGCGUGCCUUUUGAAGAAUGAGCCUGCGAGUUACGGUAUGUGGCAAGGUUAACCCGUUGAGGGGGAGCCGGAGCGAAAGCGAGUCUGAACAGGGCGUUCAGUCGCAUGCUGUAGACCCGAAGUUGAGUGAUCUAUCCAUGGUCAGGGUGAAGCGGGGGUAAGACCCCGUGGAGGCCCGAACACACGUCAGUUGAAAAUGGCGGUGAUGAACUGUGGAUAGGGGUGAAAGGCCAAACAAACUCAGCGAUAGCUGGUUCUCCUCGAAAUGCAUUUAGGUGCAGCGUCGUGCGUUCAGUACCGGAGGUAGAGCACUGGAUGGGCUAGGGGACCUACAAGUUUACCGAACCCAGCCAAACUCCGAAUGCCGGUACUCCAGAGCACGGCAGUGAGUCCACGGGGGAUGAGCUUCGUUGGACGAAAGGGAAACAGCCCAGAUCAUCAGCUAAGGCCCCUAAUUCAGGACUAAGUGGAAAACGAUGUGGGAUUGCACAGACAGCCAGGAGGUUGGCUUAGAAGCAGCCACCCUUAAAAGAGUGCGUAACAGCUCACUGGUCGAGUGAUCCUGCGCGGACAAUUCAACGGGGCUCAAGUCCUGAGCCGAAGCUAUGGGUUCGUACGCAAGUACGAGCGGUAGAGGAGCGUCGAUGGUGCUGCGAAGCGGCGGGAGAACCCGACGUGGAGCGCCAUCGAGUGAGAAUGCAGGCAUGAGUAGCGAGAGAGGGGUGAGAAACCCCUCCGCCGAAAGCCCAAGGGUUCCUGGGGAAGGCUAAUCCUCCCAGGGUGAGUCGGGAGCUAAGACGAGGCCGCGAGGCGUAGUCGAUGCACAACUGGUUGAUAUUCCAGUACCACCGUGUACGCGUCCAGCCCAAGAUUCGCAACAUGGGGGCUGUCCUUCGGGACGAUCCCAUCGCGCGGGUGGCGGGUAACUGAAGGGGGACGCAGAAGGGUAGAUGAACCGGAGCGAUGGUUGUCUCCGGGUAAGCGUGUAGGAGGGUCCUGAUGAGAGUUAGGGCCGCAACUCUGAGGCGUGACGCCGAGUCGCAACAGACGAAGUCAUUGAUCCCAUGCUGCCAAGAAAAUCCCAGCAGUGAGUAGACACGGUGCCCGUACCCCAAACCGACACAGGUGGGCGGGUAGAGAAUACCGAGGCGAUCGGGAGAACUGUAGUUAAGGAACUCGGCAAAUUACCUCCGUAACUUCGGAAGAAGGAGGACCCAAGUACCGUGAAGGCCUUGCGCCGUAAGCGGGAGUGGGUGGCACAGACCAGGGGGUAGCGACUGUUUACCAAAAACACAGCAGCGUGCGAAGCCGCAAGGCGCUGUAUACGCUGUGACGCCUGCCCAAUGCUGGAAGGUCACGGGGAACGGUUAGUCGAAAGACGAAGCUGUGAACCUAAGCCCCAGUGAAUGGCGGCCGUAACUAUAACGGUCCUAAGGUAGCGAAAUUCCUUGUCGGGUAAGUUCCGACCUGCACGAAUGGCGUAACGACUUCCCCACUGUCUCAACUACAGACCCGGCGAAAUUGAAGUACGAGUAAAGAUGCUCGUUUGCUGCGGAAGGACGGAAAGACCCCAUGGACCUUUACUACAACUUGGUGUUGAGCUUUGUUCUGCGUUGUGUAGGAUAGGUGGGAGACUUGGAAGCGGUGGCGCCAGCCAUCGUGGAGUCAUUGUUGAAAUACCACCCUGCGUACAACGGGGCUCUAACCUGGGUCCGUAAUCCGGAUCAGGAACAGCGCCAGGCGGGUAGUUUGACUGGGGCGGUCGCCUCCUAAAACGUAACGGAGGCGCCCAAAGGUUCCCUCAGGCUGGUUGGCAAUCAGCCGUCGAGUGCAAUGACAAAAGGGAGCUUGACUGCGAGACUGACAGGUCAAGCAGGCGCGAAAGCGGGGCAUAGUGACCCGGCCAUGGCUUGUGGAAGCGUGGUCGCUCAACGGAUAAAAGGUACCCUGGGGAUAACAGGCUAAUCUUUCCCAAGAGUCCAUAUCGACGGAAAGGUUUGGCACCUCGAUGUCGGCUCAUCGCAUCCUGGGGCUGAAGCAGGUCCCAAGGGUUGGGCUGUUCGCCCAUUAAAGCGGUACGUGAGCUGGGUUCAGAACGUCGUGAGACAGUUCGGUCCCUAUCCUCCGCAGCCGAAGGAGUGUUGAGGAAGGCUGUCCCUAGUACGAGAGGACCGGGACGGACGUAGCUCUGGUGUGUCUGUUGUCCUGCCAAGGGCACGGCAGAUUAGCCACCUACGGAAGGGAUAACCGCUGAAAGCAUCUAAGCGGGAAGCCCGUUCCAAGAUGAGCACUCCCAUGCGGUUAACGCAGUAAGGCCCGUGACGAGACCAUCACGUUGAUAGGCCGGAGGUGGAAGCGUGGUAACACGUGUAGCCGACCGGUACUAAUCGGCCGAGGGCUUGGUUAAACA
Molecule: ribosomal RNA, 3055 nt
Filed under: Acidimicrobiales bacterium mtb01
Lineage: Bacteria; Bacillati; Actinomycetota; Acidimicrobiia; Acidimicrobiales
Also listed under: 1 other name
Description: 23S ribosomal RNA
Rfam family: Bacterial large subunit ribosomal RNA
Source: RNAcentral